This 702-nucleotide long non-coding RNA is filed under the name Felis catus (domestic cat). RNAcentral's name for it is "lncRNA (ENSFCAG00000052945.1)". Lineage: Eukaryota; Metazoa; Chordata; Mammalia; Carnivora; Felidae. The record is from RNAcentral.
GACAACAUGGGAUUAUGUGCAUACACACAAGCACGUGUACACACAUGAACGCCACACAGGACCUCAGAGAGUGGCCGGCCCACAUGAACUGCUAGUCACCACUAUUUGUAUUGUCAGAGACUUACUGGAUACUGCACGCAUACUCACGAGUCCUCACCACCUCCUGUCUGCUUCUUAGGAGGAGAUGACUUGUUACAGCUGCCACAAUGAACCCAUACAGAGAGGAAGAGGAUGAGGGAGAGUCGAGAAGGAUUCCCCGUGUGACUGCCUGGCUGUCCCAGAGGCUGAUGAUAUGGUUUGUUGAGCUGGAGAAUGAUGGAGAAGCCACGUGGCCUAUUUGCAAAGAGCAGGACCCUGACUGGGGACACGGGACAGAUAACUGUGGCUCCUCUGGCCCACAGCGGGCCCUGUGGAUCUGCUGACACACUGAGUGCAGAGGACAUCGGACCCGGACACGAGCUGCCCUGCCCUCCACGCAAAUGAGCCUGAGGCCGUCCAGCCAACAGUGCUGAUGAAUUUCCAUCAGCCUUCAGGCAUCAUUUUCUCAUAAUUACAGCAGGGUCCACUGAGAACACGGAGCUGGCAUGCCCCUAGAACAAGGCGAAUCCCUCUCUGAGGAUCCACGUAAGGAGAAGGGAAUUUUUUUUUCCUGAGAGUUAGAGGAAAAAUAAAAUCUGAUUUAAUUCUUGGGAAAUUGCCUUU